RNAcentral lists this ribosomal RNA (484 nucleotides) under uncultured bacterium. RNAcentral describes it as "partial 16S ribosomal RNA". It matches the Rfam family "Bacterial small subunit ribosomal RNA", at positions 30 to 507 of the family's 1533-position model. The record is from RNAcentral.
AUUGAACGCUGGCGGCAGGCCUAACACAUGCAAGUCGAGCGGAUGAAGGGAGCUUGCUCCUGGAUUCAGCGGCGGACGGGUGAGUAAUGCCUAGGAAUCUGCCUGGUAGUGGGGGAUAACGUCCGGAAACGGGCGCUAAUACCGCAUACGUCCUGAGGGAGAAAGUGGGGGAUCUUCGGACCUCACGCUAUCAGGUGAGCCUAGGUCGGAUUAGCUAGUUGGUGGGGUAAAGGCCUACCAAGGCGACGAUCCGUAACUGGUCUGAGAGGAUGAUCAGUCACACUGGAACUGAGACACGGUCCAGACUCCUACGGGAGGCAGCAGUGGGGAAUAUUGGACAAUGGGCGAAAGCCUGAUCCAGCCAUGACGCGUGUGUGAAGAAGGUCUUCGGAUUGUAAAGCACUUUAAGUUGGGAGGAAGGGCAGUAAGUUAAUACCUUGCUGUUUUGACGUUACCAACAGAAUAAGCACCGGCUAACUUCGUG